AAGGUAUGAUAACAUGGACAUGUCAUGUGUAAGGUAUGAUAACAUGGACAUGUCAUGUUUAAGGUAUGAUAACAUGGACAUGUCAUGUUUAAGGUAUGAUAACAUGGACAUGUCAUGUUUAAGGUAUGAUAACAUGGAGGUCUGAUGUUUAAGGUAUGAUAACAUGGACGUCUCAUGUUUAAGGUGUGAUAACUUGGAGGUCUGAUGUUUAAGGUAUGAUAACAUGGACGUCUCAUGUUUAAGGUGUGAUAACAUGGACGUCUCAUGUUUAAGGUAUGAUAACAUGGACGUCUCAUGUUUAAGGUAUGAUAACAUGGACGUCUCAUGUUUAAGGUGUGAUAACAUGGACGUCUCAUGUUUAAGGUGUGAUAACUUGGAG
Molecule: long non-coding RNA, 379 nt
Filed under: Salmo salar (Atlantic salmon)
Lineage: Eukaryota; Metazoa; Chordata; Actinopteri; Salmoniformes; Salmonidae
Description: lncRNA (ENSSSAG00000101661.1)
Source: RNAcentral